Molecule: ribosomal RNA, 582 nt
Filed under: uncultured Alphaproteobacteria bacterium
Lineage: Bacteria; Pseudomonadati; Pseudomonadota; Alphaproteobacteria
Description: bacterial SSU rRNA
Rfam family: Bacterial small subunit ribosomal RNA
Source: RNAcentral
ACAACGCUGGCGGCAGGCUACACUGCAGGUUAAGCGCGCCUUCGGGCGAGCGGCGGACGGGUUGGUAACGCGUGGGAACGUGCCCAGAUCUACGGAAUAGCCACUGGAAACGGUGAGUAAUACCGUAUACGCCCUUAGGGGGAAAGAUUUAUCGGAUUUGGAUCGGCCCGCGUUAGAUUAGGUAGUUGGUGGGGUAACGGCCUACCAAGCCUACGAUCUAUAGCUGGUUUUAGAGGAUGAUCAGCAACACUGGGACUGAGACACGGCCCACGACUCCUACGGGAGUGCGGCAGUGGGGAAUCUUGGACAAUGGGUGGCAACCCUGAUCCAGCCAUGCCGCGUGAGUGAAGAAGGCCCUAGGGUCGUAAAACUCUUUCGCCUGUGAUGAUAAUGACAGUAGCAGGUAAAGAAACCCCGGCUAACUCCGUGCCAGCAGACCGCAGGUAAUACGGAGGGGGUUAGCGUUGUUCGGAAUUACUGGGCGUAAAGCGCACGUAGAGCGGAUUAGAAACGUUAGACGGUGAAAUCCCGGGGCUCAAACCCCGGAACUGCCUUUAAAACUACUACUACUAGAGUUCGAGA